CAGUGUACACACAUUAUCUGGACAUACAAAUGCAGUUGCUACAGUGAGAUGUCAGGCUGCAGAACCACAAAUUAUUACAGGAAGCCAUGAUACUACAAUUCGAUUAUGGGAUCUGGUGGCUGGAAAAACAAGAGUGACAUUAACAAAUCACAAAAAAUCAGUUAGGGCUGUGGUUUUACAUCCAAGACAUUACACAUUUGCAUCUGGUUCUCCAGAUAACAUAAAGCAGUGGAAAUUCCCUGAUGGAAGUUUCAUUCAAAAUCUUUCCGGUCAUAAUGCUAUUAUUAACACAUUGACGGUAAAUUCUGAUGGAGUGCUUGUAUCUGGAGCUGACAAUGGCACCAUGCAUCUUUGGGACUGGAGAACUGGCUACAAUUUUCAGAGAGUUCACGCAGCUGUGCAACCUGGGUCUUUGGACAGUGAAUCAGGAAUAUUUGCUUGUGCUUUUGAUCAGUCUGAAAGUCGAUUACUAACAGCUGAAGCUGAUAAAACCAUUAAAGUAUACAGAGAGGAUGACACAACAGAAGAAACUCAUCCAGUCAGCUGGAAACCAGAAAUUAUCAAGAGAAAGAGAUUUUAAUGAAUGUGGAAUUUUUUCUCUCUCUUUUUUUUUCUUUUUAAUU
This 623-nucleotide long non-coding RNA is filed under the name Homo sapiens (human). RNAcentral's name for it is "HSALNT0079619". The record is from RNAcentral. Lineage: Eukaryota; Metazoa; Chordata; Mammalia; Primates; Hominidae.